AGGACGAACGCUGGCGGCGUGCCUAAUACAUGCAAGUCGAACGCUUCUUUCCUCCCGAGUGCUUGCACUCAAUUGGAAAGAGGAGUGGCGGACGGGUGAGUAACACGUGGGUAACCUACCCAUCAGAGGGGGAUAACACUUGGAAACAGGUGCUAAUACCGCAUAACAGUUUAUGCCGCAUGGCAUAAGAGUGAAAGGCGCUUUCGGGUGUCGCUGAUGGAUGGACCCGCGGUGCAUUAGCUAGUUGGUGAGGUAACGGCUCACCAAGGCCACGAUGCAUAGCCGACCUGAGAGGGUGAUCGGCCACACUGGGACUGAGACACGGCCCAGACUCCUACGGGAGGCAGCAGUAGGGAAUCUUCGGCAAUGGACGAAAGUCUGACCGAGCAACGCCGCGUGAGUGAAGAAGGUUUUCGGAUCGUAAAACUCUGUUGUUAGAGAAGAACAAGGACGUUAGUAACUGAACGUCCCCUGACGGUAUCUAACCAGAAAGCCACGGCUAACUACGUGCCAGCAGCCGCGGUAAUACGUAGGUGGCAAGCGUUGUCCGGAUUUAUUGGGCGUAAAGCGAGCGCAGGCGGUUUCUUAAGUCUGAUGUGAAAGCCCCCGGCUCAACCGGGGAGGGUCAUUGGAAACUGGGAGACUUGAGUGCAGAAGAGGAGAGUGGAAUUCCAUGUGUAGCGGUGAAAUGCGUAGAUAUAUGGAGGAACACCAGUGGCGAAGGCGGCUCUCUGGUCUGUAACUGACGCUGAGGCUCGAAAGCGUGGGGAGCAAACAGGAUUAG
RNAcentral lists this ribosomal RNA (784 nucleotides) under Enterococcus faecalis. RNAcentral's name for it is "bacterial SSU rRNA". It matches the Rfam family "Bacterial small subunit ribosomal RNA", at positions 26 to 781 of the family's 1533-position model. Lineage: Bacteria; Bacillati; Bacillota; Bacilli; Lactobacillales; Enterococcaceae. The record is from RNAcentral.